RNAcentral lists this ribosomal RNA (1207 nucleotides) under uncultured Spiroplasma sp. RNAcentral's name for it is "bacterial SSU rRNA". It matches the Rfam family "Bacterial small subunit ribosomal RNA", at positions 291 to 1504 of the family's 1533-position model. The record is from RNAcentral. Lineage: Bacteria; Bacillati; Mycoplasmatota; Mollicutes; Entomoplasmatales; Spiroplasmataceae.
GUUUGAAUUCCGGUCCAACACAUUCGGAACUGGAGGAUUCGUCCCAGGACUCCUAACGGAGCAGCAGUACGUAAUUUUCACAUUGACCGAAGGUCGGAUGAAGCAAUGGCGCGUGAGUGAUGACGUCCUCCGGAUGUAAAGCUCUGUUGUAAGGAAGAAAUACUAGAAGAGGAAAUGCUUUUAGUUUGACGUACCUUACCAGAAAGCACGGCUAACUAUGUGCCAGCAGCCGCGGUAAUACAUAGGUGGCAAGCGUUAUCCGGGAUUUAUUGGGCGUAUAGGGUGCGUAGGCGGUUAGUUAAGUUUGAGGUCAAAGCCCGGGGCUCAACCCCGGUUCGCCUUGAAAACUGGCUGACUAGAAUACAGGAGAGGUAGAUGGAAUUCCAUGUGUAGCGGUGAAAUGCGUAGAUAUAUGGAGGAACACCAGUGGCGUAGGCGGUCUACUGGCCUGUUAUUGACGCUGAGGCACGAAAGCGUGGGGAGCAAAUAGGAUUAGAUACCCUAGUAGUCCACGCCGUAAACGUUGAGUACUAAGUGUCGGCAUUAUGUCGGUGCUGCAGCUAACGCAUUAAGUACUCCGCCUGAGUAGUAUGCUCGCAAGAGUGAAACUCAAAGGAAUUGACGGGGACCCGCACAAGUGGUGGAGCAUGUGGUUUAAUUCGAAGCAACGCGAAGAACCUUACCAGGGCUUGACAUCCAGUGCAAAGCUACAGAGAUGUAGUGGAGGUUAACAUUGAGACAGGUGGUGCAUGGUUGUCGUCAGCUCGUGCCGUGAGGUGUUGGGUUAAGUCCCGCAACGAGCGCAACCCUUAUCAUUAGUUACUAACAUUCAGUUGAGCACUCUAAUGAGACUGCUAGUGUAAGCUAGAGGAAGGUGGGGAUGACGUCAAAUCAUCAUGCCCCUUAUGUCCUGGGCUACACACGUGCUACAAUGGCUGGUACAAAGAGUUGCAAUCCCGCGAGGGGGAGCUAAUCUCAAAAAGCCAGUCUCAGUUCGGAUUGAAGUCUGCAACUCGACUUCAUGAAGCCGGAAUCACUAGUAAUCGCGAAUCAGCAAUGUCGCGGUGAAUACGUUCUCGGGUCUUGUACACACCGCCCGUCACACCAUGAGAGUUGGUAAUACCAGAAGUAUGUAUCUUAACCGCAAGGAGGGAGCGUACCAAGGUAGGACUAGCGAUUAGGGUGAAGUCGUAACAAGGUAACCGUA